CGUAGGGUGCGAGCGUUAAUCGGAAUUACUGGGCGUAAAGCGUGCGCAGGCGGUUUAGUAAGACAGGCGUGAAAUCCCCGGGCUCAACCUGGGAACUGCGCUUGUGACUGCUAAGCUAGAGUACGGCAGAGGGGGUGGAAUUCCACGUGUAGCAGUGAAAUGCGUAGAGAUGUGGAGGAACACCAAUGGCGAAGGCAGCCCCCUGGGUCGAUACUGACGCUCAUGCACGAAAGCGUGGGUAGCAAACAGGAUUAGAUACCCUGGUAGUCCACGCCCUAAACGAUGUCAACUAGGUGUUGGGAGAGUAAAACCUUUUAGUACCGGAGCUAACGCGUGAAGUUGACCGCCUGGGGAGUACGGCCGCAAGGUUA
This 371-nucleotide ribosomal RNA is filed under the name uncultured organism. Its description in RNAcentral is "bacterial SSU rRNA". It matches the Rfam family "Bacterial small subunit ribosomal RNA", at positions 526 to 896 of the family's 1533-position model. The record is from RNAcentral.